This is a small nucleolar RNA of Talpa occidentalis (Iberian mole), 127 nucleotides long. RefSeq annotates it as small nucleolar RNA SNORA25. The record is from RefSeq and is a predicted model, not a curated record. Lineage: Eukaryota; Metazoa; Chordata; Mammalia; Eulipotyphla; Talpidae. The transcript has a single exon.
GGGUCAUUUCAAAGAGGGCUUUUGGGACUCAAACCAGGAGCUCUUGACGCUGUGACCGAAAAUUGACCCUCUCCACGGGAUGCAGCGCGCACUCACUAGUGCCGUGCCUCCCCGAGGAGAGACAUGG